GAAUGUGAUGAUAUGUAAUUGUCGCCCCAGUCUUAUUUGCAUUCACUACGAUGGAUGCAACAUGGUGAUUGACUUUUCAGUAUCUGAUUU
Non-coding RNA from Brassica rapa (field mustard), 90 nucleotides. The record is from Rfam. Lineage: Eukaryota; Viridiplantae; Streptophyta; Magnoliopsida; Brassicales; Brassicaceae.